RNAcentral lists this ribosomal RNA (253 nucleotides) under uncultured bacterium. Its description in RNAcentral is "partial 16S ribosomal RNA". It matches the Rfam family "Bacterial small subunit ribosomal RNA", at positions 524 to 776 of the family's 1533-position model. The record is from RNAcentral.
UACAGAGGUCCCAAGCGUUGUUCGGGUUCACUGGGCGUAAAGGGUGCGUAGGCGGUCGGGUAAGUCUGAUGUGAAAUCUCACAGCUUAACUGUGAAACUGCAUUGGAUACUAUCCGGCUAGAGGAAUGGAGGGGAGACUGGAAUACUUGGUGUAGCAGUGAAAUGCGUAGAUAUCAAGUGGAACACCAGUGGCGAAGGCGAGUCUCUGGACAUUUCCUGACGCUGAGGCACGAAAGCCAGGGGAGCAAACGGG